CGACCGGGGUGACCCGACUCGUGCGAGCAGAAGUCAGCAGAGGUCGUAGUACCGCACUUCUUCGCAGCCAGCGGAGACGGGAAGGAC
RNAcentral lists this non-coding RNA (87 nucleotides) under Allorhodopirellula heiligendammensis. Lineage: Bacteria; Pseudomonadati; Planctomycetota; Planctomycetia; Pirellulales; Pirellulaceae. The record is from RNAcentral.